Molecule: ribosomal RNA, 447 nt
Filed under: Leptotrichia sp. oral taxon 215
Lineage: Bacteria; Fusobacteriati; Fusobacteriota; Fusobacteriia; Fusobacteriales; Leptotrichiaceae
Description: bacterial SSU rRNA
Rfam family: Bacterial small subunit ribosomal RNA
Source: RNAcentral
GAUGAACGCUGACAGAAUGCUUAACACAUGCAAGUCGAUGGGGAAGUGGUGCUUGCACCAUGGUAACCAUGGCGGACGGGUGAGUAACGCGUAAGGAACUUGCCUGCGGGACCGGGAUAACAGCAGGAAACUGCUGACAAGACCGGAUAAGGUCAUGAAGCUGCAUAGCUUAGUGAUGAAAGGAGACGCCUGCGGAGAGCCUUGCGUCCUAUUAGCUAGUUGGAGGGGUAACGGCCCACCAAGGCGAAGAUAGGUAGCCGGCCUGAGAGGGUGGACGGCCACAAGGGGACUGAGAUACGGCCCUUACUCCUACGGGAGGCAGCAGUGGGGAAUAUUGGACAAUGGGGGCAACCCUGAUCCAGCAAUUCUGUGUGCACGAAGACGGUUUUCGGAUUGUAAAGUGCUUUCAGCAGGGAAGAAGUAGGGACGGUACCUGCAGAAGAAGCG